RNAcentral lists this long non-coding RNA (609 nucleotides) under Pan troglodytes (chimpanzee). RNAcentral describes it as "long non-coding RNA NONPTRT015048". The record is from RNAcentral. Lineage: Eukaryota; Metazoa; Chordata; Mammalia; Primates; Hominidae.
GCUUGCUGUACCCCAAAUAAGAUUUAGAGAAAGAGGUAUUUCUCUAAAAUAAUUUGGGUGUUGCUUUUGACAUGCGAGUGAACUCAAAUCAAAUACAAAGAAAACUCACAAAGCCUUGAGAAAACUGUACUGACAAAGUCAGCCUACAUUAGAAGAGACUGAGAUUGUUUGGACUCCCAAUUUUGAAUGCCAUGAAGCUGGCUGAGAAAGUUACUCAGCAGACCAAAAUGGUUUAUUCUCUAAAGUUCUCUUCAGAAGGGGCUGAGGAGGAUGGAAAAUGAAGACUCUCCCAAAGGGUGGAACCAAGAGCUGUGGAGGACAAGGACACCAGAGCCACUCCCAGUGAACAGAACCACAGCCUAAUCAAGGAACAGACUCUAUCACAAAAUCAAGAGGAGCUGGAUCAAGCCUCAGGUAGAACAUGAGGUGCUGGACUUUAAGAAUGAUGACAGGAUGGGUAAGACUUUUGAAGGUCCCGUGAUUGGGAUUGAAUGUAUUGAUAUUUUUGUAUGUGUGAGAGACAUGAAUAAUUAUGGCCUAGAGAUAUGUUGUGGUUGAAGGACUUAUUGGCCAUCCCUGAAACCUUUGCAAUGCUUCUUCAUGGGUGAA